UGGAUUAGGCAUGCAAGUCGAACGAGAAGCUCUAGCUUGCUAGGGUAGAAAGUGGCGAAAGGGUGAGUAACACGUGAGUAAUCUGCCUCUAACUCGGGGAUAGCCUCUGGAAACGGAGAUUAAUACCGGAUGUGAUGAUUGAAUCGCAUGAUUCUUUCAUUAAAAUUUUUUGGUUGGAGAUGGGCUCGCGUCCCAUUAGCUAGUUGGUAAGGUAACGGCUUACCAAGGCAACGACGGGUAGGUGGUCUGAGAGGAUGGUCACCCACACUGGAACUGAGACACUGUCCAGACUCCUACGGGAGGCUGCAGUCGAGAAUCUUCCGCAAUGGGCGAAAGCCUGACGGAGCAAUGCCGCGUGAAUGAUGAAGGCCUUCGGGUUGUAAAAUUCUGUCACCUGGGACGAAAUUUGACGGUACCAGGAGAGGAAGUGACGGCUAACUACGUGCCAGCAGCCGCGGUAAUACGUAGGUCACGAGCGUUAAUCGGAUUUAUUGGGCGUAAAGGGUCCGCAGGGGGUUUUAUAAGUUUGACGUGAAAUGUCGAGGCUCAACCUCGAAACU
Molecule: ribosomal RNA, 560 nt
Filed under: uncultured Bacillota bacterium
Lineage: Bacteria; Bacillati; Bacillota
Description: bacterial SSU rRNA
Rfam family: Bacterial small subunit ribosomal RNA
Source: RNAcentral